AGAGUUUGAUCCUGGCUCAGGACGAACGCUGGCGGCGCGCUUAACACAUGCAAGUCGAGCGAUGAAAUCUUGACAGAUCCCUUCGGGGUGAAGAUAAGAUGGAUUAGCGGCGGACGGGUGAGUAACACGUGAGUAACCUGCCUUAGACAUUGGGAUAGCCUCGGGAAACCGGGAUUAAUACCAAAUAAAAUCAUAGGUGCACAUGCACUAAUGAUCAAAACUCCGGUGGUCUAAGAUGGACUCGCAUCCCAUUAGCUAGUUGGUGAGGUAACGGCCCACCAAGGCGACGAUGGGUAGCCGGCCUGAGAGGGUGAACGGCCACAUUGGAACUGAGAGACGGUCCAAACUCCUACGGGAGGCAGCAGUGGGGAAUAUUGCACAAUGGAGGGAACUCUGAUGCAGCGACGCCGCGUGAACGAUGAAGGCUUUCGAGUCGUAAAGUUCUUUUAUAUGGGAAGAUAAUGACGGUACCAUAAGAAAAAGCCCCGGCUAACUACGUG
Molecule: ribosomal RNA, 500 nt
Filed under: uncultured Peptoniphilus sp.
Lineage: Bacteria; Bacillati; Bacillota; Tissierellia; Tissierellales; Peptoniphilaceae
Description: bacterial SSU rRNA
Rfam family: Bacterial small subunit ribosomal RNA
Source: RNAcentral